AGUGAACGCUGGCGGCGUGCUUAACACAUGCAAGUCGAACGAGAACGGAUUAUAGCUUGCUAUAAUUGUCAGCUAAGUGGCGCACGGGUGAGUAAUGUAUAGGUAAUAUGCCUCUUACUAAGGGAUAACAAUUGGAAACGAUUGCUAAUACCUUAUAUUCCUUUUUAUCAAAAGAUAAAAAGGGAAAGAUUUAUUGGUAAGAGAUUAGCCUGUAUUGUAUCAGUUAGUUGGUGGGGUAAUGGCCUACCAAGACUAUGACGCAUAACUGGUUUGAGAGGAUGAUCAGUCACACUGGAACUGAGACACGGUCCAGACUCCUACGGGAGGCAGCAGUGGGGAAUAUUGCACAAUGGACGAAAGUCUGAUGCAGCAACGCCGCGUGGAGGAUGACACAUUUCGGUGCGUAAACUCCUUUUAUAUAAGAAGAUAAUGACGGUAUUAUAUGAAUAAGCACUGGCUAACUCCGUGCCAGCAGCCGCGGUAA
This 484-nucleotide ribosomal RNA is filed under the name uncultured bacterium. Its description in RNAcentral is "partial 16S ribosomal RNA". It matches the Rfam family "Bacterial small subunit ribosomal RNA", at positions 29 to 523 of the family's 1533-position model. The record is from RNAcentral.